RNAcentral lists this ribosomal RNA (468 nucleotides) under uncultured bacterium. RNAcentral describes it as "partial 16S ribosomal RNA". It matches the Rfam family "Bacterial small subunit ribosomal RNA", at positions 28 to 507 of the family's 1533-position model. The record is from RNAcentral.
GACGAACGCUGGCGGCGUGCUUAACACAUGCAAGUCGAACGGAAAGGCCCUUCUUUUGUGCGGUGCUCGAGUGGCGAACGGGUGUGUAACACGUGAGUAUCCUGCUUUUUACUUUGGGAUAACUUCAGGAAUUUGCUGCUACUACCGGAUAGCAUCUCCUGCUGCAUUUUUGGGUUUGGAAUUUUUCGGCGUUUGGUGAUGGACUCGCGGCUUAUCAGCUUGUUGGUGGGGUAGUGGAUUACCAAGGCUUUGAGGGGUAGCAGGCCUGAGAGGGUAACGGGCCACAUUACAACUGAGAUACGACCCAGACUACUACACUAGGCAACAGAGGAGAAUAUUAUACAAUAGAAGGAAGCCUAAUCCAACAACGCCACGUCCGGUAAGACAACCAUCCGGUUGUAAACCAAAUCCGCCUGUAACGAAACGAUAAUGACGGUAACCGGAAAAGAAGCACCGGCUAACUACGUG